This 226-nucleotide ribosomal RNA is filed under the name uncultured bacterium. RNAcentral's name for it is "partial 16S ribosomal RNA". It matches the Rfam family "Bacterial small subunit ribosomal RNA", at positions 524 to 776 of the family's 1533-position model. The record is from RNAcentral.
UACGUAGAAGACUAGUGUUAUUCAUCUUUAAUAGGUUUAAAGGGUACCUAGACGGUAUAAUUAGUCUAAAAAUAAGAUACGGUUAUACUAGGAGUUAUAUAUGAGGAGGUGAGUAUUUAUGGAGUAGAGUUGAAAUUCUGUCAUCCCCAUAACGACUGGUAACGGCGAAAGCAACCUUUUAUCUAAUAACUGACGUUGAGGGACGAAGGCUCGGGUAACGAACAGG